Molecule: RNA transcript, 2096 nt
Organism: Zingiber officinale
Lineage: Eukaryota; Viridiplantae; Streptophyta; Magnoliopsida; Zingiberales; Zingiberaceae
Gene name: geranylgeranyl transferase type-1 subunit beta-like
Exons: 10
Source: RefSeq, a predicted model, not a curated record
GGAAUUCCGAUCUGUUGUUGCCUGGGGGAAGCGGGAUAGGUGGCCAUGGAUCCACCGCCGCCACUGCGGUUCGAUUGGGAGCGACACUUGCUAUUCUUGGAGAUGAUUGUUGAUGGCCUCCCUUUGGAGUACGAGACACAAGAGAUCAACCGCCUCACACUCGCCUAUUUCGCCAUCUCUGGCCUCAACCUCCUCAACGCCCUUGAUCGGGUGCAAAGUAAUCAAAUUUCGAAUUGGGUGUUGUCCUUUCAAGUGCAUCCAAUAAGAGAGACUGACUUGGAAAGUGGAGAAUUUUAUGGUUUCUGUGGUUCCAGAUCUUCUCAAUUCUCUUCCAGCUUUAGUGAGGUUUCUAAUAAGAAUUGUAGUCACUUAGCAAGUACUUAUUGUGCUCUUGCCAUAUUGAAGAUGGUUGGAUACAAUUUAUCAAACAUUAAUCCUGAAGCAAUCUUGAAAUCAAUGAGAAAACUCCAACAACAUGAUGGGAGGUAUAUCUGCAAUGUCAUCCUUUUGUCUCAUGGGGAACUUGCCCAAUAUGUUAUGUAAUUGGAGAUGAAUAGAUGAUACCUUAACCUUCAACCUUGUGUAUUUACUUUAUGGAAAGAGAUACACAAAGUCUAUUAAUCUUACAUUUGUUUGUCACUUGAUGUAUGCCGCAGCAUAAUCUUUUGUUUCUGUGGUUUCAUGGAUUUAAGUAAAUGCUGAUUCAAAAUUUUUGUUUCUGCAUUUUCAUGGAUUUUAACAAAAUACAAAGUCAAGGUAAAAAAAAACAUAAUAGGAGGGUUCUUGUUAACUUUGCUAAAUUCUGAACAGGGAUUUGAAUAAACAAAGUCAGAUUUGAUAAUGAUUACAAGAUUAUUGAUGUCAUGAAUUAUGUGUAUUGAUGCCAUGAUCUAGCUUCAGUAAUGUGGAGACAUAUGAUAUAUGAUAAUCAUCAUUUGUACUCAGUGCAAACUGAAGACACUAGCAUCUUCAAUUUGAGAGGUGGAAUUAAAGGAAGGAAAUUAUUCUUAAUCUACUUACUGUAUUCACUUCAAUUCCCCUAUUCCAUUUGGUGUGGUUCCUUCCUGAUUCAGCACUGAUAAUUUCUGAACUACCUUUAGGUAUUUUUUUUCAGUCAUUAUGAAACAAUAUCAUUUUUCUAUGUUCUAUAUAUGUUAAUUUUUAUUGUCAUGAUAUCACCUCAGCCCAUAUAUUAUCAUAAUAAGGCAUAUUGUAUGAAAAAUGAUCCCCAAUCAUCUUAUUUACAUUUAGCAAAAUCUCAUGUCAGAUUUACAUACAAUUAGUCAAAUAAGUGAAAAUUAAAAUUUCAUGCAUUAAGGAUUCAACUAAUCUUUCACAGCUUUGUGCCGAUUCAUUUUAGAGCAGAAACAGAUCUCCGUUUUGUGUAUUGUGCUGCGGCCAUCUGUUCUAUGCUUGAUAAUUGGACUGGAAUGGACAAAGAAAAGGCUAAGGAAUAUAUAGUUAGGUGCCAGUCCUAUGAUGGUGGCUUUGGCCUGGUUCCAGAUUCAGAAUCACAUGUGAUACAGGUGGUGCGACUUUUUGUGCAGUUGCAGCUCUCCAGCUGAUGGGUUUUAUCGGAGAAGAUAUUUCUCCUAACCAAGAAGUUAUAGAUAUGCCAUUGUUAGUGGAAUGGCUCCUACAGAGACAAUCAGGCGAUGGAGGAUUUCAAGGCAGAAUGAACAAACCCAGUGAUACAUGUUAUGCAUUUUGGGUUGGCGGGGUACUGAAGAUGCUGGGUCUCUUUGAAUUCAUAAAUAAGGAUGCUUUAAGGAACUUUAUACUUUCUUGUCAGUCGAAGUACGGCGGCUUCACUAAAUUUCCGGGGAUGAAGUUUCCCGAUCUGUACCAUUCAUAUUAUAGUUUCUCUGCAUUGAGCUUAUUAGGCGAACCAGGAUUUCGUUCACUUUAUGUUGAACUGGGCAUUUGUUCAGAUUGUAACGGUUAAUAAGUUCCUUUUGUAUUGAAGCUUGAUUCAUUAAGCUGUGCACUGAGUCUGUUGCCUCAGAAAUCUGAAGCCUAAUCCAUGGAGAUGUGUAAACAAUUCAACUCUUCUCGACAUUGGUUAGCCAAUGGCUUCGAUUUGUGCCCUGACGGAA